AGCCAUUCUAAGUAUAAGUUAAAAAUCUUCAGUCUGGACCAGCAACAUUUCUUUGGUAUUUCACCUUAAGGAGCCCUGUGUGCACUGUAAUGUCCUGUUCUGCUGCCCCUGUCCCACAGUAGUCAGCCAAGCCUGGAUCCAUAAUUAUAAGACACCUCACUAAGCCUUGUUUUCCUGCACUCUCUCUGCAGACAAUGAAGAAAUACUGAAAUCUCUCAUUUCUCAGUUGUCCAUGAAGGCUUUGCUGUAGGCAAAAAGGGAGUACCAGCUCUAUACCUGUAAGCCCAAAAUCUGCACAUCAUCUCUCACAAACAAUGGAAAUAGCAUGUGAGAAUAACAAGUUGAAGCCCUUUCCCAGCUUUACCAGGAAAGAGGAAUUGCAGGCUGGACUGCAACAGAAGACAAAUACAGCUGCUGAAGAAUGGAGUAACUGA
Molecule: long non-coding RNA, 434 nt
Filed under: Cyanistes caeruleus (blue tit)
Lineage: Eukaryota; Metazoa; Chordata; Aves; Passeriformes; Paridae
Description: lncRNA (ENSCCEG00000016060.1)
Source: RNAcentral